Molecule: ribosomal RNA, 253 nt
Filed under: uncultured bacterium
Lineage: Bacteria
Description: partial 16S ribosomal RNA
Rfam family: Bacterial small subunit ribosomal RNA
Source: RNAcentral
UACGAAGGGGGCUAGCGUUGCUCGGAAUCACUGGGCGUAAAGCGCACGUAGGCGGCUUUUUAAGUCAGGGGUGAAAUCCUGGAGCUCAACUCCAGAACUGCCUUUGAUACUGAGAAGCUUGAGUCCGGGAGAGGUGAGUGGAACUGCGAGUGUAGAGGUGAAAUUCGUAGAUAUUGGGAAGAACACCGGUGGCGAAGGCGGCGCUCUGGACCGAGACUGACGCUGAGGCGCGAAAGCGUGGGGAGCAAACAGG